CCGAGCUGCCUCCCUCUUGGCGAUCUUCACCGCCUCGACAUUGGCGACAAGCUGGUACCCAAUCUACAAGAAAGGUCAGGGAGUCAAUAUAAAGGCUGAAGAAUAAAUUAAGUAAAGAAGCAAGAAAGAGAAAAAAGGUGAGUUGACUUACUUCGAGGAAGGAUCCUAGAGAGUCCCAGACCCAUAGCUUGGGAUCAGCAAGGAUGAUC
Molecule: long non-coding RNA, 209 nt
Filed under: Elaeis guineensis (African oil palm)
Lineage: Eukaryota; Viridiplantae; Streptophyta; Magnoliopsida; Arecales; Arecaceae
Description: long non-coding RNA (EGUI_LNC061415)
Source: RNAcentral